Macrobrachium nipponense is the source of this 1102-nucleotide long non-coding RNA. RefSeq lists it as uncharacterized. The record is from RefSeq and is a predicted model, not a curated record. The transcript is spliced from 3 exons. Lineage: Eukaryota; Metazoa; Arthropoda; Malacostraca; Decapoda; Palaemonidae.
GUUCUAAGAAUUCCUGUUCCAAUUUCUGCAACUGUUAAGUUACACAACGCACCAUUGUGAAGAUAAUGAACGGAAAAAUAAGUAGCACACACUAAAAGUUUAUUUCAUUUCUCGAGACUUCCUCCUGGUGGCGACACAUCGAACUACAUAAUCCAGUUGACUUUUAUUACCGACUGAUACUGUCAACUUUGUCAAGUAUGGUCACCAUUCUCAAUCAGAACACAAAGAUUAUCUUACUGUUGUACAAACUAGUAUUUUCUUUUGUUUUCUGAUAAUUUUACCACAUGUUAAUACAUCCUUAAAAUAACUUUCAUUUGCAUUCGGUGAAGAUGACGAGUUGCCGAUAUAUGUUGUUAUAUCUUUAUUGUUAAACCAUAUUAAAAGACGUUUGAGUAGAAUGAAAUGUUGAUGGAAAUUAAAUCAUUUAUUAAUUAAUCACCCUGCAUAAUGCAUUAACCAAUUAAUCACUAUGCACAAUGCAUUAACCAAGUAGUACACGUUAUUAAUCUCAUUUUAAAAACGAACCAUUCACAUGUUUACAAGCCAAUACCAGCUGGUUAACCAACUGCAGGCGACAGUAAUUCUUAGUGCUUACUGCGUACACAAUUUUCGUUAUUACGUCCAGCAACUUUGAGGACCACUUAGUAUUUAUCCGUCUACAUAACGUGAAAAGAUGGAGUUUGAGAGGUUAGCCAGCAAGAAAAAGAGAUCCAGGAAAUAAGGGAGUUCAAGUUCAAGUAUCUUAAAGCAAAACUGGGAGAAAACCCCACAGUUGCACAAGAAGAACAGAUAGAAGUGUCGGGCAGCAAGAUGGAAGAAAGAAAACGGAGGUCAUGGAGGCCUGUCAAACCAAGCACUGGGGAACUUAAUUUCGACUAUUCGGCGCCUACUACUGUCAACAGAGGGAGUUGGAAUGGUUGGAUCCAGAAAUGAAAGGAGAUUGUGUAGUACGAGGCUCUAUGAUGUGGAAGAGGGAGCACCACAAUUGUACUAAAAAAGCAAUAAAGGUUGGACAACAAAACGAAAGGAAAGAAGCAGAAAUGGAGGUAAAUUAAGAAAAAAAAAGUGAGUGCAGCUACGGACUGAGGGUGUCGCUGUAUAA